This is a ribosomal RNA of Pseudophryne corroboree (corroboree frog), 119 nucleotides long. The record is from RefSeq and is a predicted model, not a curated record. NCBI's taxonomy places the organism in Eukaryota, Metazoa, Chordata, Amphibia, Anura, Myobatrachidae.
CUCUACUAUCAUACCACACUGUAAACGCCCGAUUCCAUCCGAUCUUGGAAGCGAAGCAGUGUUGGGCCGGGUCAGUACUAGGUUGGGUGACCUCCUAGGAAGACCCGGUUUAGUAGAGG